CAUAAAUGUCUUCCUCCACGACGGUGGUGCCCUAGUGCUAAUGGGCUCCAAUGGCUCAGGAAAAACCACUUCCUUGUGCAUGUUAGCUGGAUUUCUCAAGCCUUAGGCUGGAGAAAUCGCUGGAAACUCUAAAGAGAAAGCAAGAAUGCUCUCUAGGUGUCAAAGAAAGAAGGCGCAGCUUGCGAGGUUGCUUCCAAGAGAGACCAAUUUAGUUGCUUGAUGAACCUUCCGUGGCAUUUGAUUGGGAGGGGAUGAAGUUGCUAAAGCUUAGUUGCAGAGAGCUUCUAAAGUGGUGUCACUCCCGUCUUAGGAGCACGCGCUUGCACUCCCAACUAAGGAGCUUGACUGGAGCCCGCUCCCAUUGAGUUGGAAGCACGCUCCUUACAAAUGGGAGCUUCUAUACAAUCCUUGUAUAGAAAAGGCAAGGACUUAUCACUUGGCUUUAUUAAUUGGUCUUUGAUGAACUCAUGUAUCUAGCCCAAGUCAUGAUAUCUAGAAAAUAAAACUAGUAUAUUGCAACA
Long non-coding RNA from Rhododendron vialii, 521 nucleotides. RefSeq lists it as uncharacterized. NCBI's taxonomy places the organism in Eukaryota, Viridiplantae, Streptophyta, Magnoliopsida, Ericales, Ericaceae. The transcript is spliced from 2 exons. The record is from RefSeq and is a predicted model, not a curated record.